AGGCAAAUAAUAGGGGGAAUAUUUUUUUUUUUAAAUGUUUACUUUUUAUUAAUUCUAUCAAAAAGUUUUAUUUUAGUUAAAAAAUUAGGUUUUUUUUUGUUUUAAAUGUAAGUUUUAGCAUGAGUUCAAUAGAAGUUUAAAUAACUUGGAAAUUAUAUUCGCAGUAAAAAAAAUUAAAUAUUAGAGGAAUCUAGAUUUGGUAAUAAUAAAUUAUUAUUAACAAAAUUUGUGCCAGCAGUUGCGGUUAUACAAAUAAUAUAAUUUAAUUUAUUCGGUUUUAGUUAAUUGAUAAUUCUAAAUUAAGUAAGAAUUUAUAAGGUGAAAUUUUAAAUUUUUAUUAAUUUUAAAUAAUUUAUAUGAAUCUAAGAAAUUCAGAUUAUAAACUAGGAUUAGAUACCCUAUUAUUCUGAAAGUUAAUUAUUAAACUGAAUUAGUAUAAGUUAUGGUCUUAAAAAUUAAAAAAUUUGGCGGUAUUUUAGUCUUUUCAGAGGAACCUGUCUCGUAAUUGAUAAUCCACGAUUAUAAUAACUUUAUUUUUAAGUUUACAUAUCGUCGUAGAUGAAUAUUUUAUGAGAAUUAUAAUAUUCAAGAUAUUUUAUUAAAUUAUAAAUCAGAUCAAGGUGUAGUUUAUAGUAAAGUGAAGGUGGGUUACAUUAAUAAUAUUUGUAGAUAAAUGAUUUUGAAUUAUUUUGUAAAAUGGAUUUGAUAGUAAUUUUAAUUAUAUUAUUAGAUUGAUUUUAGCUCUAAAAUAUGUACAUAUCGCCCGUCGCUUUCAUUAUAAGGUGAAAUAAGUCGUAACAAAGUAGGUGUACUGGAAAGUGUACCUUGAAAGUAC
Molecule: ribosomal RNA, 835 nt
Filed under: Caryopemon giganteus
Lineage: Eukaryota; Metazoa; Arthropoda; Insecta; Coleoptera; Chrysomelidae
Description: 12S ribosomal RNA
Source: RNAcentral